Molecule: long non-coding RNA, 1739 nt
Organism: Crotalus tigris (Tiger rattlesnake)
Lineage: Eukaryota; Metazoa; Chordata; Lepidosauria; Squamata; Viperidae
Exons: 3
Source: RefSeq, a predicted model, not a curated record
GGUUGGAUAGUCCUCGACUUACGACCGGUUGGGGUUGCAGCAUUAAAAAGAUUGAGAACCACUGACCUAGAGUUUAUGGGACUUAUUUGUUUUUAUUGAUUACAAAUCACUGGAGCUUGGCAAUAUGGUAAUAAAUAAAUAAAAGGGCUGUAGAGUUGUGAUGAGUAUGAGGAUCCCAGCUGGCUGCAUCACAGAAUGGAGAAAGUGCCACUUUGGACAGGAUAUAAGAAGAGUAACACAGAGAGAAAUUGCAUCUUUGCUCCAUUUUCAGGCUGCAUAAAUCAUGAAGUUUGAUCAAAUCAAAAGCAUAUCUACAGUGUCUAACUAUUCAUCUAUCUUGAAUUCCCGUUUCUCCUGCUUGUUGGCUACAGCACCUAGGAAGGAAGUCUUUCCAAGACUGCUAAUUUUCUCUCUCUCUCUCUCUCUCUCUCUCUCUCUCUCUCUCUGUGUGUGUGUGUGUGUGUGUGUGAGAGAGAGAGAGAGAGAGAGAGAGAGAGAGAGAGAGAGAGAGAGAGAGAGAGAGAGAGAGAGAGAGCAUGUUUGAUGAGUAUUAUUUUAUUAUUCUCCUUCAUUGGGAGUAUUAUUAACAUUUCCUGCAACCAGUGCCUUUAUCUAAGGUAGGGACCCCUGGGGAUUCAAACUGGUCAGGCAGUAGGGAACAAUCAGCAGCUUACAGGAAAAAAAAUCAGCUGAGGACAGAGUUCGUCAGUCUGUGUUAGCUUGUGCCUUACCCCAUUCUCAGCCAGGAAAGCUGAAGUGGUCAUACACUUGCAGUCCUACCUUAUAUAUUUUAUUUAUUUACAUACAAAUGAAGUCACUGCAGUAAUUGAAGAUUAUGAGUAAUCAUGGCCCACUGUGGUUUGUUAGAUGACUUUUCACUUCCUAGUCCAGGGAUGAGAGACUAGCCCAAACACAAUCAGUCUUCAUGUCUAGGGGAGGACUGGAACCUGAAUCUUCUUGCUCCUAUUCCAGUCCCUUAAUCAUUAUAGAACAAUGAUUCUUACCUAUACAUACGAGUACAUACCUCUAAAAAAACAAUCUGUGUUUCAGAUUGUUCAGCUUAUUGUCUUCCGAAAACUUUGUAUAUCCAAACAGAAAUUUAAUUCUGUUAUACUACAAGUAACACAUCUAUUACAAACUGCACUUACUACAAUAAGUUCUUUAGAGAUCCAGUUGGUCUAGUUAGUAGUUAAGGCACCAGGCUAGAAAUUGGGAGACUGACCCACUUUAGCCAUGAAAGCCAGUUGGGUGACCUUGGGCCAGUCACUCUCUCUCAGCCCAACUCUCCUCACAUGGUGGUUAUUUUGGGGAAAUGGGAAGGUGUGUUGGAUAGGUUCACUGCCUUGAGUUAUUUGUAAUAAUAAAGGUGGGAUACAAAUAAAUAAUAAAAGCACUCUGAUUUCAUAUUUUUCCUUUCAUGUUAGCUCCCACUACCACAGAGCCACUGAAGAGACCAGUUCUGUUAUGACCUACUCCAAUGGUUGUCCAAGACUGGAGAAUUGAUAAUGAGGAAAAGAAGGAUACUAACGGUGUUGCGGUAUAAUGUCACACGGGCCACAUGACUGACUCUUUGGCUUAAGAAAUGGAGAUGAGCACUGCUCACUAGAGUUGCUCACAAUUAGCAAGAAGCAGCCCAUAUGGUUUCCUCCAUCACAAGAAGACCUCUGACAGGAAGAACUCCCAAUUUCACUAUUUUCUGUGGUUCUGAAUUCCAGGUCCCAUCUUUUGCAACAAGAAAU